Kibdelosporangium phytohabitans is the source of this 65-nucleotide regulatory RNA element. It matches the Rfam family "Actino-pnp RNA". The record is from Rfam. NCBI's taxonomy places the organism in Bacteria, Bacillati, Actinomycetota, Actinomycetes, Pseudonocardiales, Pseudonocardiaceae.
GCCGGUCCUCGGUAGUGGCUUCCGGGUAGGAAAGAGGAACCCGGGGGCUUCGAUCGAAGACCGGC